This 253-nucleotide ribosomal RNA is filed under the name uncultured bacterium. RNAcentral's name for it is "partial 16S ribosomal RNA". It matches the Rfam family "Bacterial small subunit ribosomal RNA", at positions 524 to 776 of the family's 1533-position model. The record is from RNAcentral.
UACGUAGGGACUGAGCGUUGUCCGGAAUCAUUGGGCGUAAAGAGCGUGUAGGCGGCCUUUUAAGUCCUGCGUGAAAUCCUGCGGCUCAACCGCAGACGGUCGUGGGAAACUGGAAGGCUAGAGUGCGGGAGAGGAGAGUGGAAUUCCCGGUGUAGCGGUGAAAUGCGCAGAUAUCGGGAAGAACACCCGUGGCGAAGGCGGCUCUCUGGAACGCAACUGACGCUGAGACGCGAAAGCGUGGGGAGCAAACAGG